UAACAGCCUUCCUAAAUAGUUCAGACGAAGUUUAGACAGCACGCACGCACAGGUGUCAGUAACAGCGCUCCUAACGAAAUGGCGGAAAAUGCGGAAGAAGCUCUGUUGCUUGCUGCCAUGAACGGAUCACUUUAAGGCGUUGAGGCGGCUUUGAAAGCUGGUGCAGACAUUGACGUGUAUGACUUCUGUAAGCCCAAGGACUCUUUAUUUAACCUCCUGAAACCUGGUGAGCCUGACAGCGAAGAUGAAGACCAUCCAGACAUACCGGCAAUGCCAGCAUUGCACAUAGCUUGCCUCUUGGGACAUGUUG
Branchiostoma floridae (Florida lancelet) is the source of this 310-nucleotide long non-coding RNA. RefSeq lists it as uncharacterized. The record is from RefSeq and is a predicted model, not a curated record. The transcript is spliced from 3 exons. Lineage: Eukaryota; Metazoa; Chordata; Leptocardii; Amphioxiformes; Branchiostomatidae.